Molecule: non-coding RNA, 24 nt
Filed under: Arabidopsis thaliana (thale cress)
Lineage: Eukaryota; Viridiplantae; Streptophyta; Magnoliopsida; Brassicales; Brassicaceae
Source: RNAcentral
AGCUGGAGUAGUUUUAGGAUGGAU